Molecule: ribosomal RNA, 1274 nt
Filed under: Escherichia coli
Lineage: Bacteria; Pseudomonadati; Pseudomonadota; Gammaproteobacteria; Enterobacterales; Enterobacteriaceae
Description: partial 23S ribosomal RNA
Rfam family: Bacterial large subunit ribosomal RNA
Source: RNAcentral
GAAACAUCUAAGUACCCCGAGGAAAAGAAAUCAACCGAGAUUCCCCCAGUAGCGGCGAGCGAACGGGGAGCAGCCCAGAGCCUGAAUCAGUGUGUGUGUUAGUGGAAGCGUCUGGAAAGGCGCGCGAUACAGGGUGACAGCCCCGUACACAAAAAUGCACAUGCUGUGAGCUCGAUGAGUAGGGCGGGACACGUGGUAUCCUGUCUGAAUAUGGGGGGACCAUCCUCCAAGGCUAAAUACUCCUGACUGACCGAUAGUGAACCAGUACCGUGAGGGAAAGGCGAAAAGAACCCCGGCGAGGGGAGUGAAAAAGAACCUGAAACCGUGUACGUACAAGCAGUGGGAGCACGCUUAGGCGUGUGACUGCGUACCUUUUGUAUAAUGGGUCAGCGACUUAUAUUCUGUAGCAAGGUUAACCGAAUAGGGGAGCCGAAGGGAAACCGAGUCUUAACUGGGCGUUAAGUUGCAGGGUAUAGACCCGAAACCCGGUGAUCUAGCCAUGGGCAGGUUGAAGGUUGGGUAACACUAACUGGAGGACCGAACCGACUAAUGUUGAAAAAUUAGCGGAUGACUUGUGGCUGGGGGUGAAAGGCCAAUCAAACCGGGAGAUAGCUGGUUCUCCCCGAAAGCUAUUUAGGUAGCGCCUCGUGAAUUCAUCUCCGGGGGUAGAGCACUGUUUCGGCAAGGGGGUCAUCCCGACUUACCAACCCGAUGCAAACUACGAAUACCGGAGAAUGUUAUCACGGGAGACACACGGCGGGUGCUAACGUCCGUCGUGAAGAGGGAAACAACCCAGACCGCCAGCUAAGGUCCCAAAGUCAUGGUUAAGUGGGAAACGAUGUGGGAAGGCCCAGACAGCCAGGAUGUUGGCUUAGAAGCAGCCAUCAUUUAAAGAAAGCGUAAUAGCUCACUGGUCGAGUCGGCCUGCGCGGAAGAUGUAACGGGGCUAAACCAUGCACCGAAGCUGCGGCAGCGACGCUUAUGCGUUGUUGGGUAGGGGAGCGUUCUGUAAGCCUGCGAAGGUGUGCUGUGAGGCAUGCUGGAGGUAUCAGAAGUGCGAAUGCUGACAUAAGUAACGAUAAAGCGGGUGAAAAGCCCGCUCGCCGGAAGACCAAGGGUUCCUGUCCAACGUUAAUCGGGGCAGGGUGAGUCGACCCCUAAGGCGAGGCCGAAAGGCGUAGUCGAUGGGAAACAGGUUAAUAUUCCUGUACUUGGUGUUACUGCGAAGGGGGGACGGAGAAGGCUAUGUUGGCCGGGCGACGGUUGUCCCGGUU